AUCAACAUGUUGCUGCUCUGGUCAUCGUGUUUUAGCAAUUACUGAGACUGACAACACAAGCGUUUCCUCUUGGAUCAGUGAUGCUGGAUGAUGGAUGGGUUGUUUUUACAACGCUCUGGGAGGAGGUUCAAUGAAGAAAUCGAAGAGAAAAUUCCAAACACAUUCUCUCAAAGCAGAUCAGCGUGGAAAAUCAAGACAGAUGUCAACGGUUUCUCUUCUGUAACUCCCAGACCCAACGCCUGCUUGUGUGUGUUUUUUUCCGCUCACUCCCUUCUACAAGUCCUGUUCCAGUCCCAGAGUUGGAUAAAAAAGCUCAGUUCUGGCGCAACAAGUCGUUCAUUCCAGCCGCGUCCCGGUUCUCACCCUGGAGGCGCACAAGCCGCUGAAGUAACGGUGCGCACAGGAGCUCCAGCAUCUGCUAAUGCCAUCACAGCGUUUGAUCUGAACCCAAUGCUCUCUCGCUCGCCACGUCUACGUGGCAGGUAUAGUUUGAUUAUGUAAAGAUACCAACAUCAGGCAUGCACAAGAAGAAAACAGACUUUCCUAUGGAUCACUAAGAGCUCAUAAGAAUCACGCAAUAGGAGCGUAAGGAAUGAAAUACUUACAGUGUCUUGCUUUCCAGUGGGUUUGGUGGUUUAGUUUACUCCCUGACUGGUUCCCUGGAUGUCCAACUCAAGUUUGACUGCCUGAAAUUCCUCCAAGAGACAACUCAUAGAGACCGUGCUGCUCUGCGCAACUCUCGUGUCAAAGUCGCAGCGGCGCAACAGAAGACUCCAAAUCCAGCCUGCAGCCAGAUGCAGAACCUCGGUGCGUCCUGCUCCGUCUCCGUGCCUCUCUGCGCUGGCGCGGCUCUCGCUCCUCUCUGACCGACCGACUGCCACACACCCCGCACAGGACGGGACCUUUGUCUGCGCAUGACGUCACACAAGCGUGCACACACACACACACACACACACACACACACACACUGCACAAAGAUGCUACAUUUUAAUCAGAUGUGUUCAUUUUGCUGGUUUAAAAAAAAUGUGCGUAAAAACAGCUUAACGCAUGAAAAGUGCAGUUUGUCCUCGAGUGUCUUAUCAGUGAAGACAGGUGACACUUUAUGGGCAACAAGUGCUUUUAUUUCCACCAGCUGACACACUUUUUUCACUCAUCUUAUGGAGGGGAAAAGAUAGCAUGCAAAAGUCCUCCAAGCAAAGAGAUUUCUUGAAGAGCUCGUUGUGGAGAGUUGUUCUUUCUCCCUCAGCGCCUAAUUGGAAACACAUUUUUUUGUUUCAGUAACUUGUUAAGAGAGAGACAGGAAGGGAGAGAAAGAAAGAAAAAGAGAAAGACGGAGGGGUGGAGUGAAGCAGGGAGACAGAGGCUCUCUAUAGACAUACUGUAUUCCUGACAAAUUAACCCUCUGCAUCAUAUGUUGGAAGUAUUUCCUCCAAGUCUGCUGCUGCUGCUGCUGUCCAAGUGAAGUUAAAGAAAAACCCUCUCAUGUGAAGUUUCUCAGGUUCUGAGAGGAAUUUGGGUGAGGACAGUCCUGUCUGCCAGCUCUGCACCAUCUGCGAACACUUAGCGAGGUGUUUGUCGUAAACCAACCGUUGAGGCUGUGGAAUGAGACGGAGCGUUAAAGCCACGAAACGCUGAAGAAUACAGCGUUUUCUGGUUUGUGUCAACAAACUGAAUGUGUCAUUUAGGUUUAAUGCAAUACGUUUAAUUUCCAAGUGAAGCACAGUAAUGUUGGUUCAUUACCUCCACAGGGAGACUGGAGCCUUGUGCACAGCGAAGGGAUCAGACCACUGAGGGCCAGAAAAGGCAACAAAUCAUUGAUUAAAUGAUUAAUUUAUUAAUUGUUCUGUAGGAUCAUUGUCGAAUAAAACAUGGUACAUCUUCUAA
This is a long non-coding RNA of Stegastes partitus (bicolor damselfish), 1884 nucleotides long. RefSeq lists it as uncharacterized. NCBI's taxonomy places the organism in Eukaryota, Metazoa, Chordata, Actinopteri, Pomacentridae. The transcript has 2 exons. The record is from RefSeq and is a predicted model, not a curated record.